Mercenaria mercenaria is the source of this 257-nucleotide long non-coding RNA. RefSeq lists it as uncharacterized. The transcript has 3 exons. Lineage: Eukaryota; Metazoa; Mollusca; Bivalvia; Venerida; Veneridae. The record is from RefSeq and is a predicted model, not a curated record.
AAUAUGUAGCUUUGGUAAUCGUUUGGCCAACAGUGUAGAUUUAAUAAGCUUUACUCAGCCUACCGUACGUUCAUUAAGAGUUUACCUAACUGAGUGUAGGUUCAGUAAGAGUUUACCUAACUGAGUGUAGGUUCAGUAAAAUGUUUGCCGAAUAAGUGCUGUUUUAGAUAUGAUAAAGCUAACCUAAUGUAAGUUCCGUUAGGUAUUGAUAUUGAUUUAACGUUCGUCACACAUGCAGAACACUUCCAGUCAAAUUU